UACAGAGGUGUCAAACGUUGUCCGGAAUUACUGGGCGUAAAGGGCGCGUAGGCGGUCCUAUAAGUCAGAUGUGAAAGCUCCGGGGCUCAAACCCGGGAGUUGCAUCUGAUACUGUAGGACUUGAGUUCGGUAGAGGAGGGCGGAAUUCCAGGUGUAGCGGUGAAAUGCGUAGAUAUCUGGAGGAACACCCGUGGCGAAGGCGGCUCUCUGGUCCGAAACUGACGCUGAGGUGCGAAAGCUAGGGUAGCAAACAGGAUUAGAUACCCUUGUAGU
This 273-nucleotide ribosomal RNA is filed under the name uncultured bacterium. RNAcentral describes it as "partial 16S ribosomal RNA". It matches the Rfam family "Bacterial small subunit ribosomal RNA", at positions 524 to 794 of the family's 1533-position model. The record is from RNAcentral.